RNAcentral lists this ribosomal RNA (478 nucleotides) under uncultured bacterium. RNAcentral describes it as "partial 16S ribosomal RNA". It matches the Rfam family "Bacterial small subunit ribosomal RNA", at positions 28 to 507 of the family's 1533-position model. The record is from RNAcentral.
GAUGAACGCUGGCGGCGUGCUUAACACAUGCAAGUCGAACGGGAAACCUUUUAUUGAAGCUUCGGCAGAUUUAGCUGGUUUCUAGUGGCGGACGGGUGAGUAACGCGUGGGUAACCUGCCUUAUACAGGGGGAUAACAACCAGAAAUGGUUGCUAAUACCGCAUAAGCGCACAGGACCGCAUGGUCCGGUGUGAAAAACUCCGGUGGUAUAAGAUGGACCCGCGUUGGAUUAGCUAGUUGGCAGGGUAACGGCCUACCAAGGCGACGAUCCAUAGCCGGCCUGAGAGGGUGAACGGCCACAUUGGGACUGAGACACGACCCAGACUCCUACGGGAGGCAGCAGUGGGGAAUAUUGCACAAUGGGGGAAACCCUGAUGCAGCGACGCCGCGUGAAGGAAGAAGUAUCUCGGUAUGUAAACUUCUAUCAGCAGGGAAGAUAGUGACGGUACCUGACGAAGAAGCCCCGGCUAACUACGUG